This 441-nucleotide ribosomal RNA is filed under the name uncultured bacterium. RNAcentral describes it as "bacterial SSU rRNA". It matches the Rfam family "Bacterial small subunit ribosomal RNA", at positions 33 to 479 of the family's 1533-position model. The record is from RNAcentral.
ACGCUGGCGGCAGCCUAAACAUGCAAGUCGAACGGUAACAUUUCUAGCUUGCUAGAAGAUGACGAGUGGCGGACGGGUGAGUAAUGCUUGGGAACUUGCCUUUGCGAGGGGGAUAACAGUUGGAAACGACUGCUAAUACCGCAUAAUGUCUUCGGACCAAACGGGGCUUAGGCUCCGGCGCAAAGAGAGGCCCAAGUGAGAUUAGCUAGUUGGUAAGGUAACGGCUUACCAAGGCGACGAUCUCUAGCUGUUCUGAGAGGAAGAUCAGCCACACUGGGACUGAGACACGGCCCAGACUCCUACGGGAGGCAGCAGUGGGGAAUAUUGCACAAUGGGGGAAACCCUGAUGCAGCCAUGCCGCGUGUGUGAAGAAGGCCUUCGGGUUGUAAAGCACUUUCAGUUGUGAGGAAAAGUUAGUAGUUAAUACCUGCUAGCCGUGAC